GAUGAACGCUGGCGGCGUGCCUAAUACAUGCAAGUCGAGCGAACGGACGAGAAGCUUGCUUCUCUGAUGUUAGCGGCGGACGGGUGAGUAACACGUGGAUAACCUACCUAUAAGACUGGGAUAACUUCGGGAAACCGGAGCUAAUACCGGAUGAUAUCUUGAACCGCAUGGUUCAAAAGUGAAAGACGGUCUUGCUGUCACUUAUAGAUGGAUCCGCGCUGCAUUAGCUAGUUGGUAAGGUAACGGCUUACCAAGGCAACGAUGCAUAGCCGACCUGAGAGGGUGAUCGGCCACACUGGAACUGAGACACGGUCCAGACUCCUACGGGAGGCAGCAGUAGGGAAUCUUCCGCAAUAGGCGAAAGCCUGACGGAGCAACGCCGCGUGAGUGAUGAAGGUCUUCGGAUCGUAAAACUCUGUUAUUAGGGAAGAACAUAUGUGUAAGUAACUGUGCACAUCUUGACGGUACCUAACCAGAAAGCCACGGCUAACUACGUG
This 497-nucleotide ribosomal RNA is filed under the name uncultured bacterium. RNAcentral describes it as "partial 16S ribosomal RNA". It matches the Rfam family "Bacterial small subunit ribosomal RNA", at positions 28 to 507 of the family's 1533-position model. The record is from RNAcentral.